This 1720-nucleotide long non-coding RNA is filed under the name Homo sapiens (human). RNAcentral's name for it is "HSALNT0043648". The record is from RNAcentral. Lineage: Eukaryota; Metazoa; Chordata; Mammalia; Primates; Hominidae.
AUUAAAAAGCAAUGCAUGUCACCAUGUUCAAUGUAAUUCCCUGAACAGAAUUCCUUUGGAAAAGUAAAACUGACACAUUUGGCCUCACUAAACUGUCAUGAUGAGUUAAACAUUGAUUAUGGGGGAAAAAAUGAACCCUGGACUAGAGGGGAAGUCAUUCCUUAUAAUGCAACGGAUAAUAAUUCUGUAGCUGUGCCAUCCAGAAGUCCACGUAAUGCUCUUUUAUUCCGGGAUAUCUUAUGUGGGAUUUAAAAUGUCUAGAGGGAUUUUCUAGAAGCAUUGUUUUGUUCUGAAUAAGGAAGAUAGGUCAGAAUGGAUAGGGUCUUUUUUUUUUUUUUUUUUUUUUUUUUUUUGGCCUUAAAUGAGAAGGCCCAUUUUUAAUACAACCACUGAUCUGGUGAUUGUAUUUGCUUUAUUAGUAGCUAGUAGUAUUAUUGUUAGUAUUUGCUGCAUAUUUUAGCCUCAUGAUGUCAUCCUACAUAGCUCAGUAUUUCUGGGCUUCUUCAGUUUCUUCCUUGUGACACGGGGUGACAGUGGUGCUCCAUAUUCCUGAAGACACCUGGAAAUAUUGUGGGACGUGCCCUGAGUUGACAUCAGGCAGGUCCUACCUUCCUGAUUGGCCCCUGUUGGUGCUUGAAGAGCCCACUGAAACAACAGACUGAGCAAAGACUUUUAAACGCUGCACGUGGAAUCUACCUCAAAGAAUAUCUAGUUCAAACUGGUCAUUUUGCAGAUGAGAAAACUGAGGUCCAGGACCAUGAAGAGUUAACAGAGGAUUAACACUAAGGCUCUGUCCCCUGAUUUCCAUCCCAGUGGUCUCUUUCCAGCACACAGGCUGUGCCACAGAUUUUAUAGGCAUCUGGAAUUUUGCUGGCAGGGUUACUUCUAAGAAAUCUUUCGGUGGAAUCUCUUUAAGUGGCCCCUGGAAUGUAAGCACUAUGGGCAGUCUGUAGUGACCCAGAGCUCCAAAACAGAGUUUCUAAACAGGCAUGGCAGCAAAUCCCAGCAACAUCAGGCAGAUGCUUUAGACAUUUAAGGAUCUGCAGAUACUGCAGAAUCCCUCAGUUGUGUGGUCAGCACAUUACAACUCACAUAACUGUAAAAUUUUGCUGCAAUAAAAAUUAUUUUUAUAAUAAAAAACAUACUGUUAUAAAAGUAUUACCACUGGUAAUAGCACCUGUUUUGACAUCACUUUAUAAAGACUUUUCCUGUAAUUAUUUCAUCUUGUCUUCACAAAACCUGUGAUGUCGUAUGAGCAUACCUAUUUCCAUAAAAGGAAACUGAGGCUCAAAGGGAUUAAGUGAUUUGUUUAAUGGUACUCAGUUAUUAGGCAGCAGAACAGGAACCUGAAUGCCAACUCCCCUGCUUCUAUACUUUGCUCCUACUAAUCACAAUCCCUCUUGAUAUGAGCUUUAAAAUGACUUUCUUUGCAAGUUUCAUGAGCAUGUUGAUAAACAAAGGUCUCUAGGAAGUCCAAAUGUUUUUUCGCUGACUACCGCCUGGCUUCUAGUUCUCUUUCAAUCUUUUAUUUUUAGUCUCCUUUGCAUUUAAGUUUGAGACAAUAAGAUCCUGAGGAGCUUGACUGUGGCCUGGGCCUGGGGAUACUUCAGGAUUGUGAACUCAGGGAAUCUGAGGCAGGAAUUAAAAGGUACAUGAACACAAAUAGGAACACAUCUUCUCAAGAACUUAGGCUUUUUUUUUUUUUUUGGAUAGGCCUCAG